GGAUGAGGCCUCAUGUGGUGGAAGCUGCCCUUAGCUUCGCGGAGCUGACAGCUCUGGCCCAGGGCGGUAUGUAAGUCUGGCUGGGCCCGGGACAGGGUCCAGCCAGGCCCAGCCUGGUGAAACCCAGGUCUGGGUGUGAGGGUGGUCUAGGGAGUGAGUGAGGAGGUAAGGUGCCGGUCCAAGCGGUUACUAUUAUGUCUGGCAGGCGGGAGCUGUAGGCAGACAAAAUUGACCCUCACUUUAUUUUCCAGGUGGCAGUGCUCCCCUUUGGACUUUUCCUCUAGGUUCUGCGCUAACCUGUUCUGCGAGCUCACUCUGCCCACCCCCCACUCCCCCUCCUCCCCUUCACUCUCUCGAGGUUACCCAUUCACUUAAAACAUUGCUUUUGUCAGAGGAAUUCUUAGUGUGAUAUGUAAUGUGUGUGUUGGGGAAGCGUUCCAGACUGAAAUGCAUUAGGCAAAUACUUAAAUGAAGCCAACUGACUUAAAUGAAGCCAACUGGCGAAGUGGGGGUGGGGGUGGGGUGUCAUUGUGCUGUGCUAGGUGGGAGGGCGCGAUAUGGUCAUGUCCAGAUGGUGAUAAAAAUGGCAGGUUUCGUUU
Molecule: long non-coding RNA, 599 nt
Filed under: Bos taurus (domestic cattle)
Lineage: Eukaryota; Metazoa; Chordata; Mammalia; Artiodactyla; Bovidae
Description: long non-coding RNA NONBTAT017654
Rfam family: Nuclear enriched abundant transcript 1 conserved region 2 (bases 264-389)
Source: RNAcentral